GUGCUCACUUCAGCAGCACAUAUACUAAAAUUGGAAUGAUACAGAGAUUAGCCUGUUCCUGUUCAAGAUGACCUAUAAAUCCAUGAAGCAUAUAUAUAUAUG
This 102-nucleotide small nuclear RNA is filed under the name Nannospalax galili (Upper Galilee mountains blind mole rat). The record is from RNAcentral. Lineage: Eukaryota; Metazoa; Chordata; Mammalia; Rodentia; Spalacidae.